UUUGGUGUGGGAGUCCUACCCCUUU
This 25-nucleotide microRNA is filed under the name Murid gammaherpesvirus 4 (Murine herpesvirus 68). RNAcentral's name for it is "mghv-miR-M1-12-3p". Its record names the gene mghv-miR-M1-12-3p. Lineage: Duplodnaviria; Heunggongvirae; Peploviricota; Herviviricetes; Herpesvirales; Orthoherpesviridae. The record is from miRBase by way of RNAcentral.